UCAAAAGAUAAUUUUAAAAUUGGUUGAAUGUUUUAAUUGUUCUUUUAUAAUUAUUAUCAUGACCUCAGACUAGUAAGGAGUACCUAUUUUAACAGAACGGGACUUUUCAAAUUUACUUUCAAUAUUAUAAUACUGUAUAAAGAACAUGUAUCAAAGCUUCAUUGGGAAGAAACUGCAUUUUAGAUGAGCUAUGAUUUGAGCUGAAAUAAAAUUGUUUUAUCCCCAAUAUAUCAGGUUUCCCGAACAAAGAUUAGGGUUAGGAGAUUUCAGACAGCUGCCAAUUACCUGAAAAAAGCAGGAAACACCUGCUGCCAUUUAAACCCCACACACAUGCUCUCUUUCAUGUCUGGUGUUUUUACCCCUCCCCCACCCCACACGUCUGUGCCCUUGUGCCUUUGCCUUGUGGUGGGGAGGGGCCAGGGCUCACGAGAGGAAGCUAACGAGGAUGGGUGCCGCUCCUGAACUGUACCUUGAUCUCAUUACAAUCGAUCGGUUCUGUUUUUGUAGGUUUAGCCGACUUUGGCUCUGGCACCAGGAUAGGGGUGAUGUCAUUGCUCAUGUGCCUUGAAUCAUCCGGGACAUGGGAAGUCAAACAGAUGACCUCAAUUUGGAAAUGGAGUGCUGGAACCAGGAGGGCCAGACCAGAGUAAAAGAUACCACUUGCCAGACUGAUCAAGUGGCACUUAACAUCUCUACGCAGGUCAAUAAGAAGCCUGAAAGGAGAGAUUGCAAGUGGCUGUGAUGUACUACAAAGAGAACAGCAAGAGACUUCAUGCGUUCACAAAGGAUGGACACCUGCAGCACAGCAUCUUGUAUCCAAAAAACAAGUGUGGUGAAUAUGUUGUACGGCCCCCUUAAGAUGAGUCCUACCUUCGCUGAUAAUUGUUUUGGUCUUGGGACAAUUUUUGCUCUGACUGUUGCUCGUAGAGUACUUGAAUAUUUGAAUUAUGAAGUUCUUACAUACUUUUUUCACAUCUUCCGACCAAUGAACGCUAUGUUGACAGUUUUAUUGAGCAGCUUUUUGAGCAUGUACUGAAAGACCCAGGGGUGUAUCAGGAGCUGUUACGGGAUAAAUAUAUCCCUGAGGACCUAUGUACUCAAUUUCAGAGAGUGGACAUAGAGGGGGCAGUGUUGAGGCAUCAAUCUCGCUUCUGGCAGCCACAUUACAAGGAGGAAAAUGAUUAGGUAAAUUGAUUUCCUGCUCUAUAACAUUUUUCAUGUCAUAUUAUUUACAGAUUAAAUUAUGACUCUGGUGUCAACUUUAAUGGGCUACAGCAUUAAAUCAGUGUGACACUAAAUCA
Anguilla rostrata (American eel) is the source of this 1301-nucleotide long non-coding RNA. RefSeq lists it as uncharacterized. The record is from RefSeq and is a predicted model, not a curated record. The transcript is spliced from 3 exons. Lineage: Eukaryota; Metazoa; Chordata; Actinopteri; Anguilliformes; Anguillidae.